Molecule: long non-coding RNA, 471 nt
Filed under: Homo sapiens (human)
Lineage: Eukaryota; Metazoa; Chordata; Mammalia; Primates; Hominidae
Description: long non-coding RNA NONHSAT010809.2
Source: RNAcentral
UAUAUGUCACCCUCUUCAGUACACCAUCCUCAUGAAUCCGAAACUCUGUGUCUUCAUGACUGUUGCUUCCUGGACCUUGGGGUCUCUUGAUGGGAUCAUAGUGCUUGCAGCUGUCCUGUCAUUUUCUUACUGCAGCUCUCUGGAAAUUCAUCACUUUUUCUGUGAUGUUGCUGCCCUUUUACCUCUAUCCUGCACAGAAACAUCUGCAUUUGAAAGACUACUUGUCAUUUGUUGUGUGGUAAUGCUAAUCUUUCCAGUUUCAGUUAUCAUACUUUCCUAUUCCCAUGUCCUUCGAGCCGUCAUCCACAUGGGCUCUGGGGAAAGUCGUCGCAAGGCCUUCACUACCUGCUCCUCCCACCUGUCUGUGGUCGGACUCUACUACGGUGCUGCUAUGUUCAUGUACAUGAGACCAGCUUCUAAACAUACGCCAGACCAGGACAAGAUGGUGUCGGCCUUCUACACUAUUCUCAC